AUAAAGCUGUGCUCAUGUACAAUAAAAUGAAGCAGUGCAGAGAAGAUUAGCAUGGCCCCUAUACAGGGAUGACAUGCAGAUUCACAAAGCAUUCUAUUCUAUU
Small nuclear RNA from Psammomys obesus (fat sand rat), 103 nucleotides. The record is from RefSeq and is a predicted model, not a curated record. Lineage: Eukaryota; Metazoa; Chordata; Mammalia; Rodentia; Muridae.